RNAcentral lists this long non-coding RNA (2282 nucleotides) under Malus domestica (apple). RNAcentral describes it as "long non-coding RNA (MDOM_LNC013850)". The record is from RNAcentral. Lineage: Eukaryota; Viridiplantae; Streptophyta; Magnoliopsida; Rosales; Rosaceae.
UGACCUUAGACCAUGCAUCCAUUUUGCAUGAUAUUUUUUUGUUCAUGGUUAGCUUAACACGUGUUGCUUAGCCAUUGAAACACAUAAUGAUUUCUGAUAAUUUGCACAACAGUGUCUUUCGAUCGGCGCACUUGGGAGCUUUUAUCCUUAAGCUAGAUUGUACAUGUUGUGGGAAGGAAGAUGCCAUGCAAGCCCUAUAAAAUAAGGGCAAGAACCAGCGGAAGGAAAAAAGGAAGGAAGGGAAACAACUCUAACCAGAGCUGUUCUUCCCUUAAGAUUACUUUCUUAUAUUUCUCUUACAUGUUGUUAAAGCUUCUUAGCCAUUACAAUGUAUAUUGUAAAUCCUCCAUAUAUAGUGUAAUAGAAACAAAAAAUGUAGGAUAAUAUAAAUGAUUAUGAUCAUAAUACACAUGUAAAUUCAAUCAAUUAGAUAAUAACCAAAUGCAUCAAACACAUAUAUCAAUAAAUAAAGCAGUAAAAAGGAAAAAGUAAAGAAUGAUCUGGCCUGUGAUAUCAAGAGAAGCGUGUUGUCACUGUCCUAAAGUCGUAGAUGCCUCCCUACGUGCCGGUUAUAACGGCUAUCUACAACUCCAAGAUACAACCCUUGAAUUUCACAGAGUGUCUAAUCCAUAAGCAGAAUUACGGUAGACGAGAUACCAAGUAGUGAUCAAUUGCCCAUUGAUGAUCAAGAUGAGUAGGAAGAUAAUAAGAAUUAUAUAUGAGUACUGUAGUAGAGAGAGAAGGAAGACAUUUUAAUCUAUGUUAACAUCUUUGUUCUGUUUGAGGAGUUCGCUAUUUAUUAAACUCUACAUACCCCUUAAUAAAAUACAUGACUUCUCUAAUGAAUAUGACUCUUCAUAUUUUUUAUUUAAAAUCAAUAAUAAAUAAAGUUUUGAAUCUUUAAGAAAAUAAAAUAAAUAACCAACAAUCCCCCACAAGAUUCAAAACUCCAUAGAAAUGUAGAAGAAGUAAACAUAUAGAUAUGAAUGGAAGAAAUUUGGGCAACUUGUAUACCAUGCAAUAGGUGUAGGUGUCUUUUGGACUUGAACCUACACUUAGUGUUAACAACUUUCAUCUGAAUGAAUCAUAGUGAACCAUGUCUUGAACUAGACUCCUUUUGACCAGAAUACUAAAUGUAACACACAUGGUAUCGAUCAAAAACUUGGCGCGGGUUAGCGCUAUUUAUGGCCAUGCGCUUAAUCUUGAUUCUCAUGAGAAUUAUUAGAGAACAGCCCAAUCCUCACAGUUGUGGCCUCACAACUACUCUCACUUAGGUGAGUUCUCCAAGAGUACAUGUGACAUGUACCCUGCAGGAGAUUGCCUGCCUCGAAACUCAUUCAAGGUUAAUACCCUUCCUAACGUCACAUAAAAUUGCACUAAUGUCAUAGGGAUGAGCGUAAAGAUAUCUCAUGGAUAUCUUCAUUAUAAUAUGAGUGCUAUAAUGAGUCACGCAAUAUAGAUUGUUCUUACCACAUUGAACUUCCUUCAUGGGAUCUCCAAUCACAGAAGUUGGGUUUCUUCCUUAGGUGACUCCCUUACGGGCUUAAGCACAUCCCUCUCGACAAUUUUGCAUUUAGCCUCCUCGAGGCAUGUAGAUAAAUGACUAACAAGUCAUUUUAUUAAUUAUGAUUGCCUUCACAAGGCAUAUAUAAGUUUUCUGGUCAUAUAUUUGCUCGUCAGCGCUCGUCAACCUGCACGUUAUAACUAACUGCAAGCUAAAAAAUAUUUUAGUCAUAAUUUCACAGAUAAGUUGUUUAAGGUGCAUAAUUAAUCAUUCAUAACUUCACUAGAAUAAACAUGGGUACGAGCAAUGAAACAUACCCCCACAUUAUGGCACUUAUUAGAAAAUUAAUUUCAUGAAAAUCUCAAAUCAAUUUCAUUAUAUAUAAGAUAUCAAAAGUAAGAGUAAUUAUAUGCACAUUGAAGAAAAAUUCAAUAUUAUUUGUUUGUUCUAGUGAGCAUUGACAUAAAAGAAUUAGGAAAUAUUGUUAAAUAACCAAGAGAGCAUCAAACAUUAAUCUAUAUUUCCAUAGUAUGCUUCAACAUUAAGUAUAGAAUAGUAUACACACAUAACUAUUUUAUAAUUGACAACAGAUUCAAUCUCAUGAUGAAUCUCACAGCCACAUAUAUAAAUAUGAACAUCAACCGUAAAGUAACUACACGUACCUGCAUAGAAGUUUAACAUGUUCGCCAUUUUGUCUCUUGCUAAAAAUCUCAAUAAUUUCACAUGUGUAAUCUCUAAGAUGAAAACAAAAUAACCCAUGUUACUUAAAAAUGAUAUA